AUUGAACGCUGACGGCAUGCUUUACACAUGCAAGUCGAACGGUAACAGGCCGCAAGGUGCUGACGAGUGGCGAACGGGUGAGUAAUGCAUCGGAACGUGCCCAGUCGUGGGGGAUAACUACUCGAAAGAGUAGCUAAUACCGCAUACGAUCUAUGGAUGAAAGCGGGGGACCGUAAGGCCUCGCGCGAUUGGAGCGGCCGAUGUCAGAUUAGGUAGUUGGUGGGGUAAAGGCUCACCAAGCCAACGAUCUGUAGCUGGUCUGAGAGGACGACCAGCCACACUGGGACUGAGACACGGCCCAAACUCCUACGGGAGGCAGCAGUGGGGAAUUUUGGACAAUGGGCGCAAGCCUGAUCCAGCAAUGCCGCGUGCAGGAAGAAGGCCUUCGGGUUGUAAACUGCUUUUGUACGGAACGAAACGGCUCUGGUUAAUACCCGGGGCUAAUGACGGUACCGUAAGAAUAAGCACCGGCUAACUACGUG
Molecule: ribosomal RNA, 482 nt
Filed under: uncultured bacterium
Lineage: Bacteria
Description: partial 16S ribosomal RNA
Rfam family: Bacterial small subunit ribosomal RNA
Source: RNAcentral